This 467-nucleotide ribosomal RNA is filed under the name uncultured bacterium. Its description in RNAcentral is "partial 16S ribosomal RNA". It matches the Rfam family "Bacterial small subunit ribosomal RNA", at positions 28 to 506 of the family's 1533-position model. The record is from RNAcentral.
GACGAACGCUGGCGGCGUGCUUAACACAUGCAAGUCGAACGGAAAGGCCCUGCUUUUGUGGGGUGCUCGAGUGGCGAACGGGUGAGUAACACGUGAGUAACCUGCCCUUGACUUUGGGAUAACUUCAGGAAACUGGGGCUAAUACCGGAUAGGAGCUCCUGCUGCAUGGUGGGGGUUGGAAAGUUUCGGCGGUUGGGGAUGGACUCGCGGCUUAUCAGCUUGUUGGUGGGGUAGUGGCUUACCAAGGCUUUGACGGGUAGCCGGCCUGAGAGGGUGACCGGCCACAUUGGGACUGAGAUACGGCCCAGACUCCUACGGGAGGCAGCAGUGGGGAAUAUUGCACAAUGGGCGGAAGCCGGAGGCAGCAACGCCGCGUGCGGGAUGACGGCCUUCGGGUUGUAAACCGCUUUCGCCUGUGACGAAGCGUGAGUGACGGUAAUGGGGAAAGAAGCACCGGCUAACUACGU